GUUUUCUAUGAUAUAUUUUUGUUGUUGGCUUUCGUUAUGACUCAGCUACCUAAAACCACAAAAUUUCUCUUGGGAUGAGUGUUCAUCACAGGGAAAUGAUUACUGAUUUCCAAACAGGCCCUAAAUUAUAGUCAGCUAUUCCCCCAACCCUACUCAAUGCUGCACCAGCUGGAAGAGUUCAUAGUACUAAAAUAAUAGCUAAAAAUAAGAACCAAAAGUUAAAUAGUACUCAAAGAGUUCCAAUCUAUGUGGGAAUCCUAGUCACUCAGCAGUAAGUUGAACAGGAUCCAGGCCCCAAUGCAGAAAAACCCUCCUGAGCUAAGCUCAUUGAGGCAGCAGUGAACUCAACAAGAAAGUCCUCAACUCCAAGAAGCUCCAAAGCUGAAAGUCAAAGUCCUGAAGCCAAAAACUCCAGUGGAAAGGUCCAAAGCUUCAAGUUGAAGUCAAAGUCCAAAAGCCCCAAGGAGCUGUCCUCCAAAGAAGAAGUCCAAAGGAGAAGAUCCAAGGAGCAAAGACUCCAAAGAAGAACUCCAAAGGAGAAGUCCCUUGGACAGUGAUGGGGACUGGCCACAUCUAGCCAUCAUGAACAUGCAUGUUCUUAAUGCAGUCUCCACAUGGGCUUCAGAACAUCCAAGGUAUUCCAUGAUUAUUUCAGGUUUUCUAGUCAUGGGGGGGGGGCAGAGAAAUGGACU
This 692-nucleotide long non-coding RNA is filed under the name Monodelphis domestica (gray short-tailed opossum). Its description in RNAcentral is "lncRNA (ENSMODG00000030078.2)". Lineage: Eukaryota; Metazoa; Chordata; Mammalia; Didelphimorphia; Didelphidae. The record is from RNAcentral.